RNAcentral lists this long non-coding RNA (19801 nucleotides) under Linum usitatissimum (flax). RNAcentral describes it as "long non-coding RNA (LUSI_LNC004595)". The record is from RNAcentral. Lineage: Eukaryota; Viridiplantae; Streptophyta; Magnoliopsida; Malpighiales; Linaceae.
UACGAGGUUCUUAGAGACGGACUCCACGUCGAGAAGUUCUAAGACCUUGGUGUUAUUAACUUCUCAAAGAUUGUUUUUUCCUUCUCUACUGUUCUUCGCCUAUUUCUUUCAGUAUUUCCUUUCUUCGGUGUGUAAUUGUAAAGAUACGUAUAAAUAUACAGGAAUGUUCCUGUAAUUGUCAUCUAUACUACCAUUAUGGUCAUGAGCCACUCAUCAAAAUAGUCGAUAAAAUAACGGUAUAAUAAUUGCAUCCAGUUCUAAUUUAUAAUAAUCUAAACGGUUGAACCACGUAUCAUUAGACCUACUAGUAGCUAGAGCCUUUCUUAAUCCUCAAUCUUCAUGACCACGUCCUCCGAUGAUGACGAGAUCUUCACGCAUUUCGGCAGUUCCAGUCGUUCCCCCAAAGCCUCCCUGUCCCUGCAGGGAACAACCAUUAGAACUGAAUAUAGCAUUGAACACCCUGAAUCAAUUAUCCAUUUAACAACAUGCUGUAGAUUGGAGUGUGGCAGUAAACGAGUUACCUUUUUCCGCAAACAAACUCGUACACAUGCCUGUUAAUAUAAAUGAAAUGACAAUUAGUAAUUUGUCACGAAAAAUUAUUUGCCUAUUAAUAUCGAAACGAGAUCGCAUGAACACAAACCCAACUACACACAACCAUCUCCCGCAUGCUCUUGUUGUUGCGUGAUAUGACCUACCAAGCCUUAAAUCUUUUUCAACAUUUACUCUUAUGAUAAUACCUAGUUGGUUAGUCAUGUCAAAGUUGGGUUAGGCAUUUUCCUAUCUGUCUCCACGUGCUCUUCUCAUCAAGUAAGGUUUCCACAAACCGAAUCGGAAUGAUAGAAAUAUAAAAUUUUCAAAAAUUUUGAACUUGAACACUCAUUGUAUCAACGAAUUAUUUAUAUACUUGUAAAAAAUCCAUUAUUUAUAUAGAGUCAAGAUAGUAUUUGAAUUGGCUCAUGAACUAUCUAAUCAAGUUAGUACUUGAGUUGACUCACAUAAUCUAACUUAUAACCGAGUCACCUGACGAACUCAUCGAGUUAAAAUAAUGUUGUGGAUCCAAACCGAGCCACUCGAAAUGAUUAAAAUGUUAACAUUUUCCAUUCCUAUCAUUUCAACACUUUCCAAAAAAGAAAAGGACAAUUUGCUUAAUCGGAUAGGGCCACGAGCCCGCCACACGCCGCUACACAUGUCAACUGUUCAUCCGUCCACUCAAAACUCCAUCCGACGGCCUAAAACGCAUCUCAAUCCACUCUGGAACCCUCUUCUUCCCCAGCAUAAAUCUACUGCUUCCCCCGGAAAUGAUUUUUCCUGCACCUUUCAAUCUCCAUUUCCAUAGCUUCGAAAUCUCUCUCAGUUCUUAGUAAUCACUCAACCAAUCAUGUUUCUCAGAACUUCUCCUAGCUUCUCCAUCACAGCCAAGCACGGCGACAGCUUGUUCGCCGGCCACGGCGGCUUCAGUGCUGCUGCGUCUCCGAUUUCAGCUCAGGGAAGGGAGAGGAGGAGUAGCUCUCUGGUGGCUUCUGCUGCCGUUGGCGAAGUCAACUCAGCGUUGACUGGAAUCGUGUUCAAGCCGUUCGAGGAAGUGAAGAGGGAAGAGUUUAUGGUCCCGAUCUCUCCACAGGUUUCGAUCGCUCGUCAGCUGUACGUUGAUGAGUGCGAAUCUGCGAUCAACGAGCAGAUCAAGUGAGUUUCGAAUUUCUUUGAGCUCUGAUUUUGAAUUUUCUGGUGCUGGAAGAAUCUCGAUUAAGUAUACUGUUUGGUUUGCUGUUUGGAUGAUACAGUGUGGAGUACAACGCUUCGUACAUAUACCAUUCGCUGUACGCGUACUUUGACAGGGACAACGUUGCUCUCAAAGGCUUCGCCAAGUAUAAUACUAUUCAUUUGUGAUUCUGAAUCUUGUUGAGUAACUUGUUCAUAUUUGGGUCAUUACGGUUUGAGCUAAUGGUUUCUGGAAUCAGUUUUUUCAAGGAAUCUAGUGAAGAAGAAAGGGGACAUGCUGAAAAGCUGAUGGAGUAUCAGGUACUUCUCCAAAAUCCACACUUUCAGCUUCUCUGAAUCUAAUGAAUUUCAUCUAUGAAGAAUUAUUCUGUUUAGGAAUGACAUAUAGAUGAGAAACCAAAUAUGAAUCUCUCUAUAAGAUGCAUCAGUUCUUCACAAUUUAUCAAAGUCUUUGAAAUUCCUGCUUAUCAUAUCUUGUUACUCCCAAUAUUAACAAAAGUGCGUGAAGUUAAACUCAUUUUGAUUUACUGCUGUGUUCAUGUGGAAACAGAAUGUUCGUGGAGGGAGAGUGAAGCUACACUCUAUUCUGAUGCCUCCUUCUGAAUUCGAGCAUGUCGAGAAGGGAGAUGCUUUGUACGGUAUGUCAUUUGAACCUCUUGUUCGAGCAAUUAACUUUCAGACCUUUCUAAUAUCGAUCGGUUUCCUUGUGAUCCAGCAAUGGAACUCGCACUGUCCCUGGAGAAACUGGUGAAUGAGAAGCUUCUGAGCUUGCACUCUGUAAGUUGCUCAUCCUGGCCUUUCUAUUUGAAAACUGUUGUUUCCUUAUUGCAUUAACGAUCUUUGGCUAUCUAUUGUUAUCACCAACAGGUGGCAUCCAAGAACAACGACCCACAAAUGGCUGAAUUUGUCGAAAGAGAGUUUCUGAACGAACAGGUAUGCUCCCAUUUCUGGAAUUUAAGCUCCACGGGGGACCUUUCAUCUGUCCCCUACCCUUCAAUGAUGAAGACAAACUAACAGAAACCAUAGAGUGAAAGAGAAAGAUCACAUCUACAGUAUCUUUGCUUAAUUAUAGUAAUCGUUUCAGCAUCGAGACAAAUCUGUUCUUUGAAAGCUACUUAGUUUUGUUUUUUGCGUGAUCGUUAGGUGGAAGCCAUCAAGAAAAUAUCAGACUACGUCACCCAGUUGAGGCUGGUUGGCAAAGGCCACGGUAUUACUUUCAUGCCAUCCAUUAAUUAAAAAUUGAAUCUUUUCAUUAGGGUUCAUGUUUGAUUGUUGCUUGGACUCUUUUACAGGAGUUUGGCACUUUGACCAGAUGCUUCUCAACGAAGCUUGAUGCCCGCUAAUGAUGCUGAAAGUUUAUAUAUAGUUUUUACUUAGUGGAAGAUUCUUCUGAACUAUGUACUAGAUCAACAUGGAAAGUGUUAAUGGUUUUCUCUUCUGCUGUGUUCCUAUAAAUAAAGCUGAUAGCUACUGGUAGUUCGUGUUGAUGAUGAAAUCUUCUGCAAUUUCCAACUCUGUCCCAACCUUGAAGAACUUGUAACUGGUUAUAUGUAUCGAUUAUGAACUUUUGGAUGUAUCACUUAUCGAAAUUAUCAAGUGAAGUGAAAUGUGAUCUGUUUGGCUCAUUCCCUCGAUUAGGAACAACUUAUCGAGUAUCGACUCCUACUCCAAUUUGUGACUCUAUGAACCUCCGAUUCGAUUGAUUGGUCAAGUAAUUAACUCGACAUAUCCAACUUACCUUUAGACUCUUACGUCAAGCGAAUUGUGAUCUGACUCACUAAAUUGUUCAAAUAGUAACGUCCGUACUUUAAUUUGUGACUCGAUGAAUCUUAAACUCGUAGAUUAUCCAACUCAGCUGACCUUUAAUGGCAUUUUUCUACUUUUCACCCCUCAUCAUUUCGGUUCUGGUUAUUCACACGAACAAAUCUUGUUCAUCAUCCAUACGGAAUCACAAACAAGAACCUCCAACCCAGAAGACGAUUUUCCAUAACCAGAAGCAAUCAAUUGCCGAAUCAAACGAACGAAGAACACCCAAAAUUUCGACCUCCACUGGAUAUUUACAACGUUUCUGCAUAAAGCUUUAUUCUUUCCCCACCAACCUCGAUCGAAUCAAACACAAACAGGCCUCAAACAAGAUCUCCAACCAGGAACCUUCUUCCUCGACGAUCGGCUCCCGCCACGACGUCGUCCAGGCGAACAAUUAACAGAAUGCAGCAUCUCCCACAUCACCUGAAUAUCCGUAUACUCCCCACAUGACUCCAUAUCCUUAUGUAGCGCCACCAACGCCCCUCGUUGCUUCCUUCCUGAAAACCCAUCAAUCAAAUCAAUCAAACCAAUCGAAUUCAGUUAAAGUGAAGAAAAAAAACUUUUUUUAUACCUCUGGUGGAUCUGGGGCUGGUGGGUUUUGGUUUGAGCGAUCGGACGGCGGAAGUGAGCUUGAGGAUCGCAUGCUUGGUGGAAGAGAAAGAGUUGCGCUUCAAGAGGAGGAGCCUCUGCUUCCAACGAGUGUUCAUGGCGGAAUAUUUGGAUUUUUUGGGGGUUGUGAUGAUGAUGAAGGGAAUUAAUAACGUUCUUAUUAUAUACGAUUGCCGUUUCGUGAUUAAAUGAUGAUUAAGAAUAUUUUUGUAGGCUAAUUAUGGAUGUUUUGUAGGACACGCCGCUAACGGACGUUCGGUCCGACACUUCAGCCUCCUGAACGUGUCCUCAUGUUCUUAUCUACCACUACUGCUCGGUUAAUUAAUCAAACUAAAAUUAUAUUAGGCAAUAAAUAAGGUAGAAUUUGAACUAAACGUGGUUAUUAUAAACAAUGAGUCAAAGUUGGAUUAGAAAUAAGAAAAUAAUACACACCGUAAGACAUCUCAUGCUCAAUACAAGUAAGAUAAUUAGUUGCGUGGUUGUUCUCUCAAUAAAUAUGAAUAAACUCGAUCUCACACGGCCUAUUCCAUCAAAUCAUGAAUAUGAUUCACAUUAUAUGUCGUUCUUUAAUGAAAGGGAUGUUGAGGUAGCUAUCACAAUUGUUUUAGAUGUUGGACUAGGGAAGUUAGUGAAAGGGUAUUUGGUCCCAAUUGUUUAAAAUGAGUGAUGAUACUAGAAUUGUAAUUGAACUGUCUUGAUUGUUCGUUCAUGAUAAAAAAAAGUAUGAACUUGUAUAAUACAUUAUCCUCUACAUAUAUAUAAUCAACUUCAAUCGCCUACCUUCCUCUUGUUAAUCAUCAUUUAUUUGAUGAAUAGAAAGCCGUCAACCAAAAUCACAGUGACACACAAAUCAUGACACACCCUCUGUUAUAAUUACGCUUUUCGACUCGAUCAUUUCUUUUAAACAUUAACUCCUUAGGCAUCUAGACGAGCUUUGAUACACCAUGGAUGAUGUUUUGACUUGUUCUAAUUAAUUAGUAUUAAUGAUUUUACUAUUGUUUUGUUAAUUGAUGUUAGUGGGGGGGGGGGGGGAAAAAUUGGGGGGAGACAAAAAUUUUUUUGGGGGAUGUAAAAACAAUCAAAGUAAACAACACACAAUUUUUUGGGAGCAUGUAAAAUUCAGCUAGUGAAAUCACCAAAUAUUCGAAGGGCGCGUGCUCGUGUGGAAUUUGGCAGGAGUGGGGCCCAAAAGGGUCAACCGAUUUUUGUUAGGCGUUUCUGUCAUCGCUUUCUGUUUGUCGACUCUCACUCACUUCUCCACACUUGGAUCAAUUCUGAUUGGCUUCAUGAAACCUUAAUCAGAUAGAAAAAUAAAGGUCAAAUAUUAAUUGUCCUAUAAAUUUGAAAUGAGUUAUCAAACAAUUUUGUAACUUUUAAUUCGAUAUAAAUUCAUCUUAUUUUUUCCUUCUCUAUUACGUAGUAGUCCUAUUUUACCAACAUGCAUAUCAAAUCGAAAAUAUUUGAUAUAUAUAUUGAAAAUGGCUAAAAAAUCAUAUUUCAUUAUAAUACCAAUAUAAAUAAUGAUUAAAUGAAGUUAAAAAUAACUUUUACUCGAUGUUAUGUUAACGUUAAGUAAAAUAUUUUUUAACUUUAUUUGGCUAUUAUUUAAAAAGGUUAACAUGAUGAAAUCUCAAAUUUUUGUCAUUCCCAACAUACUUGAUAAUAUUAACUUAUUUAAAAAAUUUCAAUUAUAAUGUCAAAUAUUAGCCAUUUUAACAUUAAAAUUCUAAAUUGAAGUAAUCCUCUUUAAUCCAAGUUGCAUGAAUUUUGAUUGGCUUUAUAAAAAUAUAAAAGUGCAUUUGUAAGAAGAGAUCAACAAGACUCGAGAUACAAUUGUAAAAGUGUUUCCAUCUCUUAGAUCAGACUCACCACGUAGAGAACUAUUACCCCCUAAUAAAUUUGAGUCUAAAAGAGGUUAAUAAUUGAUAUACUAGAUUGGUCCAAAAUGGUGAUAACUGAUUUUCCAUAAUGAAGGAGAAAUCAACUACAGAACCUCUGUGCAUCUGUACACUUACAAAGUCACAAACUACAGAGAGCUUAUCAAUCAGUCCAAAGGGUAAAUGAAUCCUAUUCAAUCGUGAACAAUGGCGUGGAUUAGAAUCGACGCCUCAUCAUUUGCUCAGAUCAACAUCUUCUGUACCCAAACAAUGAAAGAAACCAAACUCAAAUUUGCAGCAAACAAAAAACAAAACAAGAAAACAGAGCAUACCUGGGAGAGAUUUGGGAAUGUGGGAAACAAUGUUCUCGAUUAUCCCGCCGUUUCCUCCGCCUCCGCGUUCCUUCUCUGCCAGCGGCGCAUCCUCUGAGAAAGCUCCCCGGCGAUGAUCCUUAUCUUCUUCCGGAGAUGAGGCUCUUGGGCUGAGAGGAGCAACCAAGUUGGCAAGGAGAUUGUUAAAGAUCCCACCUUUCUUCUCUUCGUCUUUGCUCUCCACUACUACUGGAUCCGCCGCCGCCGUAGGUUGCUGUUCUUCCUCACGGCCGUGAUCUUGUAGUACAUCGUCGGUUGGGUAGAUAUCAGGAGUUCCCAUUGCACAGCCUUCCAUUUUUUUUUGUUUCUCUGAACUUUGAUUUCCUCCAAAUCUUGAGCCCCAGCAAUUCAAGAGCUUUUGAGAUUUUGAGGGACAGGCGUCUGCUAUCUAUAAGAUGAGUAUCACAGUAAAGCUUUACACGUAGUUCAUGGCUAUUCGUUUGAUGAUGAAAGAGCCAGUAAGCGCACGACACCAUAUUACCAGUCGUUGCUGCUUUCCAUGGGUCGGUGGAAAUCUUUUAAUUCUUUUAGAUAUUUUUAGCCUCAUCGGGGUUUGGGCAUGACGACGGUGGCCGAUGGUCUAGCAUUGAAGUUCUGCAACUUCAAUUGAAUACUAAGAUAAAUCCAGUUCUUCGAGACAUCCAAGACUGAAGAGAGCAGAUGAUAUAUCUCCCGGCAUGUCUUCCCCGCUCAAGUCGAGUCCAACAACAAGACCAAGGCCACGAGCAUCACAUCUGAUACGAGGCCAAUCACAACAAUCCGUGCUCGCAUCACAACAGUUUGGCAGAGUUUAUAAAAGAAGCCAUAAUGAAACCUUCCAUGCCACCGAGGAUGGAGCUCUGCGUGAAAAAAGCCUAGGCUAGUGCCAAUGUUGUUAGAUACAUGCCAAACCUCCAUUGUUCUUCGUUUGCGACAAGCAUCAGGAAGACAUGAUCAUUGCCAUCAUAACAUGUUUACAUAAGGAAACAUGGCAUAAGAAAUUGCAGUGGUGACAUGGCAGCUAUAUCUUUCUUUGCCUUGGACAAUUAUUCUAGUCUUUCACAAAGGCGGCAGUUUCUACCAAAGGGGCACAAGCACAAGGUAAAAUUAAUAGCAACGAAGCACAAUCUGCAAGACAAUGAUGGAAAAAUAAGAAAAACACAGAAGUCUUCUUAACACUCAGCAGCACUAGCUAAAGCAUUAUUAAUAUUAGCCCAAUUGAUGAGAUCCCAAAUUUUUGAAUUCCAAUGAAAGACGUCAAAGUCUAAAGAGGGAGGGCGUAGGAUAAUACCAAUAAACCUCAAGAAUACCCUUCGGGGUGGGUGGUUUUCAUAUGCCACCAGUUGUUCUCGUCGAAAUCUUCAUCACCCCUAUCGAGAUCUACUCGGACUGUUGGUACAGGUGGCCAUUCGAUAGGACUGAUGUUCUUGUCAACGAGUCUAACACCGUAGACCGGAUCAACACAAUUUAUCCACAAAUUUAUGCGAGUUUCCCACGGAAGGAAAACUUACAUGAGAACCACAAAUGAACGUCCCUGGAAGCAAUACCCUUUGGGACUCACUUGCAAGUGCAACUCCUUGAGGCAUUGAGCAAGCAUAGUCAAUUCAUCUUCUUCCUCGAUUCUUCCAUGACCGUCGAAGAAUAUAAGCCGAUUAUAUGACAUCUCACCGUCGUGGCUUGUUUGAAUGGUGGCAACUUUCUUCCAGUGAAUCUUUUUUAUGGAAGGAAUGUUAACGGUGAGGUUGAUUAACUCGUAGAUUUGGAGGUUGGCUCCGUCUGAGGAUGCAACAAAGUGGUUGUUAGACUUGAAAUCGAACAGAGCCAUUUUUUGUAAGGGAGGGAAGCUUAGAGAAGCAGAGGAUUAUGGGAUUUGAAGAUAGCUUGCUAUGGUUUACACAAGUGAUUCAUCUGCAAGCCCGUUAUGUGCAAAUCCAGUAAUCAUUGAAUUCCAGGACACAACAUCCUUCAUUACCAUUCCGUCGAACAAUCUCUUGGAAGAUCCCAUAUCGCCUGCUUACUUUUAUACAAACGUGCUAGAUCAGCACAUGCACUAAGAAGAGUUACAAACGUAAAACCACUCGGCUCAACUCCAUCCUCCAACAUUUGCUUAAAGAUAUCCAUUGUUCUUUCACUCUGGCCAUUUUGUGCGAAACCAGCCAUCAAGCUAGUCCAAGCAACAGUGUUCCUAUAUCGCAUCUGUUUAAAGAGACCAAUAGCAUCAUCCAGUAUGGAUGCUCGAGUACAGGCAGCCACCAUCAACGUCCGGGACAGAAUAUCCCUUUCAUUCAUCCUGCUAAAUACACGGAAACUAACAGCAGGUUCCUAGACGCUAGACCCCCAACUCCAAACCUUACCUAGACCCCAAUAACUAUACGUAACGUACCCUAAACCUCAGUGUCGAAUUACAGCUAUAAUUAGAAUAUGAUUAGGUGUAGAAAUUAGAGUAAGUUAGCUGUAUUAUUUAAUCUUCUAGUCUAUUCUAUGCAGAAUAUUAGUAGUAAGUAGUAGGAGAAUAAUCCCUGAUUUAUAGGGAUUACAAUAAGGGGGUUCUGCACCCUAACAGUGCAGACCGUGUAUAUAUGUAUAAUCAACAACAUAGCAAUAGAAUUAUCAUACCAGAAUCAUUUCUAUUCUGGAUUCUACAUGGUAUCAGAGCGAGGGUGCAUCCAGAUCUAAACCCCAUUCGUUCACUAAACUUCUGUCUCCAUCUCUGUCUCUAUUUCUCUCAUCCUCACGUCAUGACUAACACCAACGCUGAAGCCCCUCGAGCUGGCAGCUCACCACCACAGUCACCAUCCAUCACUGAAGCGCACAACUCCAGCAGCCUUAUCAGAAUCAGUCCUAGGCUGUAUCACGAAUCACAAGCUCAACGGAGACAACUACCUAUAGUGGUCGCCCUCUGUUCUGAAGUUCAUCUCAGGGAAAGGAAAGAGAGGAUACCUGACUGGAAAGACAAAGCAGCCAGCAGAAGAGGAUCCGGAGUUCACCAACUGGGACAUUGAAGAUAAUAUGGUUCAGUCGUGGCUCCUGAACUCAAUGACCACGUCCAUUGGUGAGAAAUUUCUUCUCCACCAAACUGCUCACGAGAUCUGGGAGGGAGCCAGACAUACAUAUGCCAAUUAGGCCAACAAAGCUGAGGCCUUCGAAGUGGAGAUGCGUCUCCAUGAUCUCAAGCAGGGGGACAAAUCAGUUACUUAGUACUACGAUGAACUGAGCAAGUGCUGGCUGCAACAGGAUCUGUACGACGUCCACCUAUGGAAGUGUACGGAGGAUGCAGAACUCUACAGGCAGAUCCUCCAGACAAAGCGGACCAUCCGCUUCCUCCUUGGUCUAAAUCAGGCCCUAGAUGAGGUCAAGGGUAGGAUUAUGGGUCGUCUUCCCCUUCCUUCAGUUAGGGAGGCGUUUGCUGAAAUCAAGUGGGAAGAGAGCAGAAGAAGGCUCAUGAUCCCUGACUCCAAGAACACCCCAAUGGAGGGUUCUGCCCUUGCCACUCAGUAUGCUAAGAAGGCAUUUGCAGGUCCCUCUGAACCUCACCACAGCCUGUUUGCUAGCCAAGGUAUUAAAUCUGCGGCUCUCCUUACUCUUAAAUCAAUUCAAACAAUACUGGAUAUUGGAUUCUGGUGCUACUGAACACAUGACUGGUUCUAGACAGCUGCUCCACAAUAUCCAGCUUCAUGUAGGGAGAGCAGGAGUUCGUAUUGCGGAUGGAACCAUUGCUCCAGUCGAAGGAAUUGGGACAGCCUACUUGACCCCAAAUCAGGUUGUAUUCCUUGUUCUAUAUGUUCCAAAGUUGACUUGCAACCUGAUUUCUGUUAGUCAAAUCACACAAGACUUUAACUGUCGACUAACUUGCGAUCCAUCACAAUGUGUAUUGUACAUGUGGGAUCUCAGAGGAUGAUUGGCAGGUUUGAACUGUGUGAUGGACUGUUCCUUCGAAGGACAAUAAGCGAAGUAGGACCAGGAGGAGAGGGUUCCAAGUCAGUCCAUCUAAGUUCUAGGUCAAGCCAGUUAGAAUGUCCUGUCAUGAUGUGACAUUACCGGUUAGGCCACUCUAGUUUCUCUUAUCUUAAAAAAUUGUUUCCUAAACUGUUUAUCAAUAAAAAUCUGAGUUCUUUUUACUGUGAGGUCUGUCAGCUUGCAAAGUAAAUAUGAGUUGUUUAUCAUAGCCUUCCAUAUAAGCCAACACACCCAUUUUCCAUCAUUCACAGCGACAUUUGGGGUCCAUGUUCUAUAAAAACAGUCAGCGGGUUUCGAUGGUUCAUCACCUUUAUUGAUGAUCACACCCGCUUAACAUGGACAUACCUCAUGAAAUCAAAAACUGAAACUAAAGAAAUCUUCCUAACUUUCCUAAAUCAGGUCAAAACUGUUGGACCAUUACUAAAGCGACGUCGUUUGACGUUGCUAUUAAAUAUUAGACCGUUAGUUAAACUACAGCGUUUUGAGAAGAACUUUCUAGUUGUUGCAUUUCAGUCACUUUAGUCUUAGAAUAAUGACAUUUUAGUCCUCUGUGUUAGUCUGUUGAAGAGCUGCUAUUUUUCAGGUGCUUAAGGAUGGAUCAUGGCUGUUUGUUGCCAGAUCCUCCUGAUCUUCAGGCUCUAUCUGCUGUACUUAUUGUGAGUGAUGUUCAUCUUAAUUGAAUGUCAGUUUGCACAAGUUCUUAUCGUUACAUUGUGGUAUCAGAGCACCUAAAGCAAACUGUAACCAAAUAGAGUGAAAUCAAGAGAGGCUUAGAGAAGAAGUGAUUACCAGAAGGAUGAGUGAGGCUAGUAGCUUUGCACAAGUGUGCAUAUCAAGAUUUGAUGGUGAUUUCGAUCACUGGAGCUUGCUGAUGGAGAAUCUACUCCGUUCAAAGGAGUAUUGGAAGGUAGUCGGCGAAGGGUUCAGAUCAGGCUGAAGGAAAGGCUGUAUCUGAAGUUGAGACCAAAAACCUGGAGGAUUUAAGGUUAAAAGACCUGAAGGCGAAGAACUAUUUGUUCAGUUCGAUUGACAAAACCAUACUGAAGACCAUCACCAACAAAGACACAGCUAAGGAACUAUGGGAUGCCAUGAAGACCAAGUUCCAAGGCAGUGUUAGAGUUCAAAAAUCUCAGCUGCAGGCCUUGAGAAGGAGUUUUGAACUACUGGAGAUGCAGGGAGGUGAGACUGUGACGGAUUACUUUGGCAGGGUGAUGGUGGUGGCUAACUCAAUGAGGAGUUAUGGGGAGAAUCUGACUGAUGCUCAGAUUGUGAAGAAGAUACUGAGAACGUUGACUGAGCAGUUCAAUUACGUGGUGUGUGCAAUAGAGGAGUCAAAGGACAUUGAGCUCCUGUCAGUUGAUGCACUCCAGAGCUCGUUGCUAGUGCAUGAACAAAAGUUUGUGAAGAGGUUCAAGGAAGAAGAAAAUCAUGCCCUUAGGGUGAUGCAUGAUUACGGAGGAAGAGGAGGUAGAGGAUAUGGCAGGAAUGGCUAUACUGGCGGGGUAAAGGGAAGGCUGGUAGGGGUUGGAACAAGGAGUCGGUGGAGUGUUACAAAUGUCACAAGUUGGGGCACUAUAAGAGUGAGUGUCCAGAUUGGUACUCAAACCAACAGGUUCACUACUCUUCAUACUCAAACCAGACUUCUGUGCAAGAUAGGUCUUUUGGAGACUUGACAAAAGAUGUUAUGCUGAUGGCAUCAGUCGAUCAAGAGGAGGAAUUUGAAACUCAUCACACCUGGUGGUUUUUAGAUUCUGGAUGCAGUAAUUAUAUGAGUGGAAGCAAGGACUGGUUCACCUCUUUAGAUCACAACUUUAAAUGCAGUGUGGGAACAACUGCAGACUAAAUGUGGUUGGAAGAGGCACGAUUAAAUUUUCUGUGAACCAAGUGUCCUUAGUGGUUCAGAAUGUAUUUUAUGUGCCAGGACUGAAAACCAAUCUGCUGAGUGUAGGACAACUGCAAGAAAAGGGGAUCGUGUUUACCAUCAAAGAAGGAUACUAUCAGUUGAUGCAUGAACGAAAGGGGUUGCUACUGACAACUCAGAUGAAAAUCAAUAGAAUGUUUGUAUUACACGCAGACACUAAGGAAAACCAGGAUGGCAGGGAAAGUGCUCAGUGCCUACAGGUGGAAGGAGCAUCAACUGCAUCUCUGCAGUUGUGGCAUCGCAGGUUUGGCCACUUGAACCAAGAGAGUCUGUUAAGUCUGAGCAAGGGGAAAGGAGUUCGAGACAUGCCAAGUCUUAAAGGAGAUAUUGAAGUAUGUCAAACAUGUAUGAUUGAAAAGCAGCAGAGGAAAGCUUUUCCAAAGAGGAGUAACUGGAGAGCAGAUCAAAAAUUAAAACUACUUCAUGCUGAUCUGUAUGGGCCAAUCACACCCUCCUCGAAUGAAGGGAGGAGGUAUAUAUUUACUGUUAUUGAUGAUUACAGUAGAAAGUUAUGGGUUUUCUUUAUGAAAAAUAAAUCAGAAACCUUUGAGAUUUUUAAAAGAUUUAAGGCUCAAGUAGAGAAGGAGACUGGACUAUCCAUUGUGUCUCAGGACUGAUAGAGGGGGCGAAUUCAUGCUUCAUGAAUUUCACAAUUUUUGUGAAGAAGCUGAAAUCAGAAGACAGCUCACAGCUGCUCUUACACCUCAGCAAAAUGGGGUGGCAGAAAGGAAAAACAAGACAGUGAUGAACAUGGUAAGGUGUAUGAUGGAAGAUAGCAAGGUUCCAUCCUUGUUCUGGCCAGAAGCAGUUGCUUGGACUGCGCACGUACUCAAUCGCAGUCCAACCUCAGCAAAAAAAGGAAAAACACCUCAAGAAUCUGGACAGGGACACCACCAUCAGUGUCCCAUUUGAGGGUAUUUGGCUGCCUGGCGCAUGUUCAUAUACCUGAUCAGCAUAAGAAGAAGCUUGACAGCAAGAGUGUAGCAUGCCAGUUCCUAAGCAUUUCUAUGGAAUCAAAGGCCUACAAGCUCUAUAGUCCUGCUAUCAAGAAGGUGAUAACUAGCAGAGAUGUGAUUUUUGAUGAGACUAAAGGCUGGCACUGGGAGAAGGAUAUUCAACCAGUCCUCACAGAUAUACUGUGGGAAGGAAAGGGGGAUGAUCUAUACAACAGUGAUGAGGAAGAAACACAGGAGGACCUGCAGGAGAGCACACAGGAACCAGAGGAGGAUACUCCUCACACGCCUGCAGGAUCUCAGGCCUCAAGGAGUUCAACUCGACAGGUUGAGGGAGAGGGCAUUGGUCAAAGGGUUAGGAGGCCUCCACCAUACUUAAGUGAGUAUGACUGCAAUUGGACAACUACUGAUUGGUGUGUUAUGGUGGCAGUCUCUGAGGAUCCACAAACGUAUGAGGCAGCUGCUCAAGAUCCUAAGUGGAGUGCAGCUAUGCAGGUAGAGAUGGAAGCCAUACACAGAAACUGUACCUGGAAAUUAGUCCCUUGCCCUGCGAGUGUUGUUCCUCUUAGCCUUAAAUGGGUCUAUAGAACCAAACUCAAAGAAGAUGGAUCAAUAGACAAGUACAAGGCCAGGCUGGUAGCAAAAAGGUACUCUCAGCAGUAUGGCAUUGAUUACACAGAGGUCUUUGCUCGCUGGGACACUAUCAGGAUCCUAUUGGCGUAUGCUGCAUAUCAUGGUUUCACUGUGUAUCAGCUAGACGUCAAGAGUACUUUUUUAUAUGGAGAAUUAACUGAGGAAGUCUUUGUUGAGCAACCUCAAGGGUUUGAGGUUGCUGGGGAGGAAACUAAGGUGUACAGGCUACAAAAGGCUCUUUAUGGACUGAAACAAGCUCCAAGAACUUGGUACAGUCGGAUUGAAGCCUACUUUCUGGAUGCAGGGUUCAAGAGAAACAAUCAUGAUUACACCUUAUUCAUCAAGAAGGUAGGGGAGGAGAUUCUGAUAGUUAGCCUAUAUGUGGAUGACCUGAUGUACGUGAGCAACAGCAAGCAACUCAUUGAGGAGUUUAAGGGAUCAAUGAAGGCUGAGUUUGAGAUGACUGAUCUAGGCAAGAUGAGAUUCUUUCUAGGAGUUGAAAUCACUCAGAUAGAUGAUGACAUAUUCAUUGGACAGCAGAAAUAUGCAGGAGAGAUUCUAAAGAAGUUCAAACUGAAAGAGUGCAAUAUGGUGAGGAAUCCCAUGGUUCCUAGGACAAAACUCUCAAAGGCUGGAGAUGGAGUACCUGUCAGUCCUACAGACUAUAAGCAGUUGAUAGGGAGCCUGCUGUACAUGACAGCAACUAGACCUGACAUAAUGUACUCAGUAUGCACUCUUAGCAGGUAUAUGGAGGCCCCAACCAAACAACACAUGUUUGCUGCCAAGCGAGUGAUGAGGUAUUUGAAAGGAACUCUGAGCUUUGGCAUUUACUAUAACAAAAGGGAGGAAGAGCAGAGCUUAGUAGGAUAUACUGACAGUGACUAUGCUCACAGUAGCUCUUGCCCUUAUACUCCUCAGCAGAACGGGAUUGCAGAACGCAAAAACCGUCACCUGCUGAAAGUUGCAAGAGCAUCACUGUUUGCUGCCAAGGCUCCAAAGAAUUUGUGGGCUGAUGCUGUCCUCACAGCUACCUACCUUAUCAACCGUCUCCCAAAUCGAACCCUACGUUUUAAAACUCCUCGUAGCGUUCUUCUCAAAAUUUUCCCUCAGUCAUGCUCUAUCUUCCAAUCUUCCCCUUAGAGUUUUUGGAUGUACAUCAUUCGUCUAUUUAGAUUCAUCCCUUCAUACCAAACUAGAUCCUAGAGUAGUAAAAUGUGUCUUCCUUGGAUAUUCUCCUCAUCAUAGUGGUUACAAGUGUUACUCUCCAAGUAACCACAAAGUCCAUCACUCAAAAAAUAUCACGUUCUUCGAAAAUCGUCCUUUCUACUCCCACUGUCAACCUCAGGGGGAGAAUCCUACUAGUGAGUCCAUAUCUGUUGAGUCCUCCAUUGGAAGUAUUAUUACCCUAGAAACUCCAGUGGGUCUAGAGCCUCCUAAGGUUGUCCAACCCUCUCCCACAUAACAAAACAACCAAAUUCCUCUUCUCCUGGUUUAUCAACGUCGGAAGAAGGCGGCAGUGAACACAUAUGCUCAGCCUGACCAGGAAUUUGAUGAGACCACAGCCUCCCAAGAAGGCGAGUUAGAACAAAUGGACCAGGGGGUUGAUCAUGGUGAUGUGGUCGGGAAUCAUGACCAGACAGAGGACAUUCAGGCUGUUGGUACAGAGGAGACUCAGGAAGAUGAUACAGUCUACCUCCCAAUUACACACAGGAAAGGAACUAGAUCGUGUACAACUCACCUAUUGAGAGAUGGGUUUCAUAUGGUAAUCUAAGCCAGAGAUACAAGGCUUUUGUGGGGACACUCGACGACACACAGAUUUCUCACUCCAUUGAAGAAGCUAUGAGUAUUCCUCACUGGAGGGCAGGAGUAUUGGAAGAAAUAAGUGCACUCCUGAAGAAUAAGACUUGAGAUACAGUAAGGCUGUCAAAAGGAAAAUCCACAGUUGAUUGUAAGUGAAUUUUCAUAGUGAAGUAUACCUCAGAAGGCAAGAUUGAGAGAUAUAAAGCUCGUCUUGUAGCCAGAGGAUUCACACAGUGCUAUGGAGUGGACUACGAGGAGACUUUUGCUCCUGUAGCCAAGCUGAAAACUGUGAGGAUUCUUCUAAACAUUGCAGUAAAUCUAGAUUGGCCUCUAUACCAACUAGAUGUGAAGAAUGCUUUCCUAAACGGGGCUCUGAAUGAGGAAGCGUAUAUGAAUGUCCUGACAGGCGCCACCACAGAACCGGGAAUGGUGUGCAGACUGAAGAAGGCACUGUAUGGCCUAAAGCAGUCACCACGAGCAUGGUUUGAGAGGUUCUCUCAGUCCCUGAAGGGAUACAGAUAUUAUCAGUGUCAAACUGAUCAUACGAUGUUUAUAAAACAAAAUCAGGAAGGAAGAAAGGCCAUUCUCAUUGUAUAUGUUAAUGACAUUAUCAUCACAGAGGAUGAUGAAACGGAAAUCAAACAGCUCAAGGAGAAAUUAGCACUUGAAUUCGAGAUAAAAGACCUAGGAAAUUUGAGGUAUUUUCUAGGUAUUGAAGUGGCACGAUCUAGUAAGGGACUGAGUUUAUCCCAACGAAAAUACGUCCUAGACUUGUUAAAGGAGACUGGGAUGAUUGGGUGCAAACCUGCGAGCACACCAAUGGAGCACAACUUGAAGUUUGUUCUUGGCCAAGAAGCAGCGCCAGUAGAGAGGGGGAGUUACCAAAAACUGGUAGGAAAGCUAAUAUAUUUAGCACACACACGUCCAGACAUCUCAUUUUCAGUGAGCAUCAUGAACCAACAUAUGCACAAUCCAAAUGAAGAGCAUAUGAAGGCAGUGAUGAGGAUUUUGAGAUAUUUAAAGAGCACAACAGGUGUUGGAUUGCUGAUCCAAAAACACGCUGGGCGCAGAAUUUUGAUUUAUACGGAUGCAAGUUGGGCUGGAGACCUUACAGAUCGAAGAUGUUGAGCGUAUUGUACCUAUGUGAGGGGGAACUUAGUGACCUGGGAGUAAGAAACAAACUGUUGUCUCACGGAACAGUGCUGAAGCAGAGUACAGGGCACUGGCAGACAGAAUUUAUGAAGGAGUUUGGUUAAGGCGCAUCUUAAGGAAACUCAAGAUGAAGGAUGAAGGUCUUAUUAGAGUGCUGUGUGAUGAUAGUCAGGCAGCACUAAUUAUUGUGAAGAAUCCAGUUCAUCAUGAUCGUACUAAAGAUGUUGAACUGGAUCGUCACUUCAUUUCUGAGAAAGUUAACAACAAAGAAUUCGAGAUGGAGUACGUUCCAUCUAAGCAGCAGAUUGUAGAUAUUCUUACUAAGGCUCUACCUAGAGAUAUGUUUGAUGAUCUAUAAGGCAAGCUUGCCCUCAAUAACAUUUCCAGCCAAGCUUAGGGGGAGUGUCGAAUUACAACUAUAAUUAGAAUAUGAUUAGGUGUAGAAAUUAGAAUAAGUUAGCUGUAUUAUUUGAUCUUCUAAUCUAUUCUACGCAGAAUAUUAGUAGUAAGUAAUAGGAGAAUAAUACCUAUUUAUAGGAAUUACAAUAAAGGGGUUCUGCACCCUAACAAUGCAGACCGUGUAUAUAUGUAUAACCAACAACAUAGCAAUAGAAUUAUCAUACCAGAAUCAUUUCUAUUCCGGAUUCUACACUCAGUACCUAGACCACACUACCUAGUCUCUAGUGCCCAUACCCUAGACCAAGUUGAAACAGCUCCAUAUUUUCAUCAACUCGCAAGUAGCCAUGAGAAGAAGGAAGAAUGAGUUAUUUUUAUCAUAGAAAAGAAAUGAAAUGAAAAGAAAAGCAGAAGAAUGAUGCUGCAAAAUGAUAUCAAAAGCUUUACCAACGCAGGUCAGCAGUUAGAAGACCAACAUAGUAAGCAGGAAGCACAGAGUAGCGAAGAGUAAAAGACCCUCUAAGGAAACGUACAGACUACAGAAAAAUAAUACCAUGAAUACGAAAAAUGAGAAGUGGCAGAGGUGAAUUACCAGGGGUGAGUUUAAUUAUGGGGUUUCAUACUUUGACAAGUUGUUGUUUCCCUUGUGUAGUUGGAGCUUGUGUGUUAUCAAUGCACUACUUUCUCCUUCAUUUGAGUCUUCCACUUAGCCCUGCAAAUGCAAUGAAACUCGGGAUCAUUCACCAUUUCCAUCUUAUAUGAAACACAAUAAAGAAUAAAUACAACAUCAACGUUUUAGUUUAUCAUACCUUCUGAUCAGAUACAUGGUUUCUGCCUUUCUGCACUGAUCCUUUAUUCUUCUACCUGAAUGUUCACCCUAGACGCUACACCCUGGCAACUAGUACAUAAAUUACCCUUAACCCCAAUACCUGCCCAGUAAGUUACAAAAGCAGGUCAGCAGUUAGAAGACCAACAUAGUAAGCAGGAAGCACAGAGUAGCGAAGAGUAAAAGACCCUCUAAGGAAACGUACAGACUACAGAAAAAUAAUACCAUGAAUACGAAAAAUGAGAAGUGGCAGAGGUGAAUUACCAGGGAUGAGUUGAAUUUUGGGGUUUCAUACGUUGACAAGUUGUUGUUUCCCUUGUGCAGUUGGAGCUUGUGUGUUAUCAAUGCACUACUUUCUCCUUCAUUUGAGUCUUCCACUUAGCCCUGCAAAUGCAAUGAAACUCGGGAUCAUCCACCAUUUCCAUCUUAUAUGAAACACAAUAAAGAAUAAAUACAACAUCAACGUUUUAGUUUAUCAUACCUUCUGAUCAGAUACAUGGUUUCUGCCUUUCUGCACUGAUCCUUUAUUCUUCUACCUGAAUGUUCACCCUAGACGCUACACCCUGGCAACUAGUACAUAAAUUACCCUUAACCCCAAUACCUGCCCAGUAAGUUACAAAAGCAGGUCAGCAGUUAGAAGACCAACAUAGUAAGGAGGAAGCACACAGUAGCGAAGAGUAAAAGACCUACAAACUACAACGGAAAAAAUACCAUCAGAAGAAUAGGAAGAAUGACAAGUGGCAGAGGUGAAUUACCAGGGACGAGUUUGAUUUUGGGACUUCCAUAGCUUUGACAAGAUGAUGUUUCCCCUAUAAAGUUGCAGCUUGUGUGUUAUCAAUGCAUGCACCACUAUCAUCUGCAACAUGUCCACAAGUAUUGAAGAGAAGGACGGGGGAAACAGGAAAGAUAUCACUGAAAUUCUUAUGAAGACCAACAUAGUAAGGAGGAAGCACACAGUAGCGAAGAGUAAAAGACCUACAAACUACAACGGAAAAAAUACCAUCAGAAGAAUAGGAAGAAUGACAAGUGGCAGAGGUGAAUUACCAGGGACGAGUUUGAUUUUGGGACUUCCAUAGCUUUGACAAGAUGAUGUUUCCCCUAUAAAGUUGCAGCUUGUGUGUUAUCAAUGCAUGCACCACUAUCAUCUGCAACAUGUCCACAAGUAUUGAAGAGAAGGACGGGGGAAACAGGAAAGAUAUCACUGAAAUUCUUAUGAAGACCAACAUAGUAAGGAGGAAGCACACAGUAGCGAAGAGUAAAAGACCUACAAACUACAACGGAAAAAAUACCAUCAGAAGAAUAGGAAGAAUGACAAGUGGCAGAGGUGAAUUACCAGGGAUGAGUUGAAUUUUGGGGUUUCAUACGUUGACAAGUUGUUGUUUCCCUUGUGCAGUUGGAGCUUGUGUGUUAUCAAUGCACUACUUUCUCCUUCAUUUGAGUCUUCCACUUAGCCCUGCAAAUGCAAUGAAACUCGGGAUCAUCCACCAUUUCCAUCUUAUAUGAAACACAAUAAAGAAUAAAUACAACAUCAACGUUUUAGUUUAUCAUACCUUCUGAUCAGAUACAUGGUUUCUGCCUUUCUGCACUGAUCCUUUAUUCUUCUACCUGAAUGUUCACCCUAGACGCUACACCCUGGCAACUAGUACAUAAAUUACCCUUAACCCCAAUACCUGCCCAGUAAGUUACAAAAGCAGGUCAGCAGUUAGAAGACCAACAUAGUAAGCAGGAAGCACAGAGUAGCGAAGAGUAAAAGACCCUCUAAGGAAACGUACAGACUACAGAAAAAUAAUACCAUGAAUACG